GUGCCAGCAGCCGCGGUAAUACGGAGGGUGCGAGCGUUAAUCGGAAUUACUGGGCGUAAAGCGCAUGCAGGUGGUUUGUUAAGUCAGAUGUGAAAGCCCGGGGCUCAACCUCGGAACUGCAUUUGAAACUGGCAGACUAGAGUACUGUAGAGGGGGGUAGAAUUUCAGGUGUAGCGGUGAAAUGCGUAGAGAUCUGAAGGAAUACCGGUGGCGAAGGCGGCCCCCCUGGACAGAUACUGACACUCAGAUCGCGAAAGCGUGGGGAGCAAACAGGAUUAGAUACCCCUGGUAG
This 292-nucleotide ribosomal RNA is filed under the name uncultured bacterium. RNAcentral describes it as "partial 16S ribosomal RNA". It matches the Rfam family "Bacterial small subunit ribosomal RNA", at positions 505 to 793 of the family's 1533-position model. The record is from RNAcentral.